Molecule: long non-coding RNA, 1141 nt
Organism: Peromyscus eremicus (cactus mouse)
Lineage: Eukaryota; Metazoa; Chordata; Mammalia; Rodentia; Cricetidae
Exons: 3
Source: RefSeq, a predicted model, not a curated record
CCGGGCCUGCCUAAUGUCCGUCCUACCCUCCAGUGCAGAUCAAAAAGCUCAGAAUACAGGAUGUGACCGGCCAUACCUGUGUUCCCCCACAGCCCCAUACUAAGGAGUGGAACUCAACUCCUCCCUCGUCCCCUCAGGUCCCUCAAGCUGCUUCAGCAGAGGCUUCUGGAAGCUUCCGGAGCUUUCCAGAGGCCGUCCACCAUCGGGGCUCACCGAGGAUGGGGCUGAUGAACCACACUAGGCUGUAGAGCUGGUCAGGCAGGCCCAUUUGCAGGAGUACUGGAGUGACGUACGCGGUCUCCAUGGCGUAGCUGAACUCGAUGCCAAACAGAAUGCAGCCGUUGAAGAGCAGCUCCCGAAACGACCUCUGUGGGUGCAAGUCUCCAAAGUCCACCAGCUCAAUGGGACACGGGGUGUUGGGAGGUGGGGGUGGAGAGGGUCGAAUGUACUUCCUCCUCUUGGGGUGGCGUUUGAAGUUGUUGGCCCGGUGACUGAUGUGCCGCGUCACAGACCCUGAGUAGCUGGAGAUGGGAGACUUCCAGAAGUCCUGAGGAGCCACACUGGGGAAGAGGGCCUCUCCCGGAGGGGUGCUGCCUGCUGGGGGGAUCAUCGUAGGCAGGGCUGGGAGAGGAAAGCUGAGGCCAGAGUGGGAGGAACAGAGACCUGGAGCAAAGAAGUCCCAGAACUCUGCUGGAUGUCCACCUCACCCACCCGAUGGAAAAGCCAUUGACAUUCUCCUUUGAAGUCCUUCCUGAGAGUUAGGUUAGAAAGUGAAGGAAAAUGUUCCAAGCAGUGGAAAUCUUCCAUACAAACGAGAAAGAACUAACUGCUGGCCACAGUGAGGGUGUGGAGCGAGAUGAAGUCACCAGUAAAACAUUCGCUGAUGGCGAAGGACCUUGAAGCCUUGGCUAAGAGGUGCAUUUUACACGCGGUGACAUGGCGGAGCUCACUCCUCUGUUACUUCAAUAAUCACUUAUCUGGUGACCUUAAAGACACCGCUGUGUAAAACGAGGACAGGUGAGCCUGAGAACUACGUAGACAAGUAAUGCUUCAUUUAAAAUAUAGUCUACUUACGAAGAUGAACUCAAGACUAAGGCUUCAGGGGCUAGAGUGACGGCUCAGUGGGUCAAGGCGCUUGCCA